UACGGAGGGUCCAAGCGUUAUCCGGAUUUAUUGGGUUUAAAGGGUCCGUAGGCGGGCUUAUAAGUCAGAGGUGAAAUCCCAUCGCUCAACGAUGGAACUGCCUUUGAUACUGUAGGUCUUGAAUGUAUUUGAAGUAGGCGGAAUAUGUAGUGUAGCGGUGAAAUGCAUAGAUAUUACAUAGAACACCAAUUGCGAAGGCAGCUUACUAAGAUAUAAUUGACGCUGAUGGACGAAAGCGUGGGUAGCGAACGGG
Molecule: ribosomal RNA, 253 nt
Filed under: uncultured bacterium
Lineage: Bacteria
Description: partial 16S ribosomal RNA
Rfam family: Bacterial small subunit ribosomal RNA
Source: RNAcentral